RNAcentral lists this ribosomal RNA (426 nucleotides) under uncultured bacterium. RNAcentral's name for it is "partial 16S ribosomal RNA". It matches the Rfam family "Bacterial small subunit ribosomal RNA", at positions 354 to 796 of the family's 1533-position model. The record is from RNAcentral.
GUGAGGAAUAUUGGGCAAUGGGCGCAAGCCUGACCCAGCAACGCCGCGUGAAGGAAGACGGUCUUCGGAUUGUAAACUUCUUUUGUCAGGGACGAAUAAUGACGGUACCUGGCGAAUAAGCCACGGCUAACUACGUGCCAGCAGCCGCGGUAAUACGUAGGUGGCAAGCGUUGUCCGGAUUUACUGGGUGUAAAGGGCGAGUAGGCGGAUUUGCAAGUCAGGUGUGAAAGCCCGGGGCUUAACCCCGGGUCUGCAUUUGAAACUGCGGAUCUUGAGUAUCGGAGAGGCAGGCGGAAUUCCCGGUGUAGCGGUGGAAUGCGUAGAUAUCGGGAGGAACACCAGUGGCGAAGGCGGCCUGCUGGACGACAACUGACGCUGAGGAGCGAAAGCGUGGGGAGCAAACAGGAUUAGAAACCCCAGUAGUCC